This 450-nucleotide ribosomal RNA is filed under the name uncultured bacterium. RNAcentral's name for it is "partial 16S ribosomal RNA". It matches the Rfam family "Bacterial small subunit ribosomal RNA", at positions 328 to 797 of the family's 1533-position model. The record is from RNAcentral.
CGGCCAGACUCCUACGGGAGGCAGCAGUGGGGGAUAUUGCACAAUGGGGGAAACCCUGAUGCAGCGACGCCGCGUGGGUGAAGAAGCGCCUCGGCGCGUAAAGCCCUGUCAGCAGGGAAGAAAAUGACGGUACCUGAAGAAGAAGCCCCGACUAACUACGUGCCAGCAGCCGCGGUAAUACGUAGGGGGCAAGCGUUAUCCGGAUUUACUGGGUGUAAAGGGGGCGCAGACGGCGAUGCAGGCCAGGAGUGAAAGCCCGGGGCCCAACCCCGGGACUGCUCUUGGAACUGCGUGGCUAGAGUGCAGGAGGGGCAGGCGGAAUUCCUGGUGUAGCGGUGAAAUGCGUAGAUAUCAGGAGGAACACCGGUGGCGAAGGCGGUCUGCUGGACAGCAACUGACGCUGAGGCGCGAAAGCGUGGGGAGCAAACAGGAUUAGAUGCCCCCGUACUA